RNAcentral lists this small nuclear RNA (22 nucleotides) under Arabidopsis thaliana (thale cress). Its description in RNAcentral is "snRNA_08318". Lineage: Eukaryota; Viridiplantae; Streptophyta; Magnoliopsida; Brassicales; Brassicaceae. The record is from RNAcentral.
GAAACACUUCUCACCUACAAGG